This 253-nucleotide ribosomal RNA is filed under the name uncultured bacterium. RNAcentral describes it as "partial 16S ribosomal RNA". It matches the Rfam family "Bacterial small subunit ribosomal RNA", at positions 524 to 776 of the family's 1533-position model. The record is from RNAcentral.
GACGUAGGAGGCGAGCGUUGUCCGGAUUUACUGGGCGUAAAGCGCGCGCAGGCGGUCACGCAGGUCAUCUGUGAAAGCACCCGGCUCAACCGGGUUGUUGCGGGUGAAACCGCGUGACUUGAGGGUGGGAGAGGUCGGUGGAAUUCCCGGUGUAGUGGUGAAAUGCGUAGAUAUUGGGAAGAACACCUGAGGCGAAGGCGGGUUGCUGGGCCGACACUGACGCUGAGGCGCGAAAGCCAGGGGAGCAAACGGG